This 215-nucleotide ribosomal RNA is filed under the name uncultured bacterium. RNAcentral describes it as "partial 16S ribosomal RNA". It matches the Rfam family "Bacterial small subunit ribosomal RNA", at positions 524 to 738 of the family's 1533-position model. The record is from RNAcentral.
UACGAAGGGGGCUAGCGUUGUUCGGAAUUACUGGGCGUAAAGCGCGCGUAGGCGGUGAUCUAUGUCAGAGGUGAAAUCCCGGGGCUCAACUCCGGAAUUGCCUUUGAAACGGGAUCGCUAGAGUCCGAGAGAGGAUGGCGGAAUUCCUAGUGUAGAGGUGAAAUUCGUAGAUAUUAGGAAGAACACCGGUGGCGAAGGCGGCCAUCUGGCUCGGU